This 2895-nucleotide small RNA is filed under the name Theobroma cacao (cacao). Its description in RNAcentral is "sRNA Tc10v2_g006650". Lineage: Eukaryota; Viridiplantae; Streptophyta; Magnoliopsida; Malvales; Malvaceae. The record is from RNAcentral.
ACUUGGAAAAAAAGUUGUGUCUUGAGUCCUUAAGGUUAUUAUGGCAUGGAGCAGGUUUAAAUGAGGAAAAGGUGUUGGAGAGCCUACGACGACAUCCAAAUCUCAAAAAGCUGGUGGUAUCGAGUUUUAACGGAGCUAUGUUUCCGAAUUAGUUGUCUUCCAUCUCAAAUGUAGUCAAAUUCAUUUACAGUAUUGUAAUAAACUCUGAAAUCUACCUCCUAUGGAUCAUCUCCCCUCUCCAAAGCAUCUUUCACUUAAUACUUUGGAUGCUUUAGAACACAUGUCAGAAAUAGGAACAGACACGUUGACAACAACGACGUUCUUCCCAUCCUUAGAAUUUCUAGGGAUUUAUUCUUGUCCCAAUCUUAAGGGAUGGUGGAAGAAGAAGAAGGAAGAUGAGGAGGACGAUGAAGAAUCAACUAAAGCAUCAACUGUAGAGCUGCUACCUUACUUCCUUUGCCUUUCCACGUUAGAAAUUUGAGAAUGUCCUAAGCUAACCUCCCUCCCAUUGUUUCCUACUCUCAAUAACAAGUUGAGCUUGCGGUGUACCAAUGGAAGGCCAUUGCAACAAACAGCGAGGAGGAGAACUAAGGGGAAGAUAACAUUAGUUGCAACAAUAUCAUCAUCGACUACUCUUCCUCUCUCCAAUUUGAAGUCUUUGAUUUUAUAUGAGAUUGAAAAUGAAAAAUCUGUGUUAAAGGAGUUUCUACAAAAUUGCCGCUGCACUUGUCUUGAGUUCUUAAAGAUUGGGUGUUGUCCUGAAUUGACAUCGUUGCUGACAGAACUGCAUGCCCUCACCUCUCUACGAAGGUUGAAAAUUUUUAAUAUUCCCAAUCUGAUGGCUUUGCUCGACUGGAUACACAAUCUCACUUCCCUCGAAGGGUUCAAAAUUAGAUACUGCCCCAAAUUACCAUCAUUGCUAGAAGGGAUGAGUCGACUCACCAAUCUACGCCAUUUUCGAAUCAAAGGUUGUCCCCAUUUGAGUGAAAGAUGCCAAAGGGACACCGAUGUCGAUUGGGCUAAGAUUUCUCAAGUCCAAGAUAUUCGCAUUGAUAGAGAUUGAGAUCCCAAGGAAGUUAGCUACUGCUUUACCUUUUUUUGAUGAAAAUUGAAGUAAUUUUCUUGCCAACCUCUCCUCUCUUAUUAAUGCAUUAUUUUAGUCAUAUAUAUUUAUUUCAAUCUAUUGAGUCUUCAGCUUCACUUUCUUGACAGCAUGAAUUAGUGUCGCAUUUUAGUCUUAAGGUUUCCCUUACCCUUUCAGGAAGCAAGAUGGGAGAUUGAUUCACUUUUAUCUCUUUUUCAACUCAUCAUCUCUUGGAAUCUGGGCCAGAGAAAAAUGCAAAGCCUUUGAUUGUUUAUUGUGCUGGUGAUGUUCCUUCUUCUUAUCUCCCUGAUGUUGAAGAUAGUUCUUUUCUUUCAUAUGAAGAAUCCAAGAAAAAGAUGCAGGUGGAUUUUGAAAGGCAGGGUAAAGAACUAUUUAGUUUUUAGAGAACACUAUCAUUACCAUCUCCAAAUUUAACUCGAGAUAUGUUCAAUAAAAUAAGGUAAUUAAUGGAGCUUUUACUUUUAUUCCAAUUGGAAAAAUUUGAAACAUGUGUUUUAUUCCUAUUUGAAUCUUUUGGACAUGAAUGACUAAUUUAAGACUCCAUUUGAUUGAUGUUUUUGCUCUUUGUUUUCUUCUUUUUGCAAAACAAUGAAUAGAAAAGAACAAGCAAAAGAUAGAAAAUGAAUAGAAAAUAGAAAAACAAAUAGCAAAAAGCAAAAACAUCAACUAAACGGAACCUAAGUAUUUCCAAUGGCCUUUUAGAGCUUAACAGGUUGGCACCUAUCGAUUCUUAGGUUUAAAUUGUUUUACAGAUGUCUUAUAUAAUACAGUUGAUAGCCACAACAUGACAAGUCAAUAUUUGUUGUCUAGUCUUAAGUUUUAGUAUGUGUAAUAUUCUACAUAUUGCAUUUUUUACGAUUUAAGAAUAUGCUAAAGAUUAUGUAUUCAAGUUUUAUACUUGUAAGAAGCUUGAUAUGACAUUAAAGCAAUCAAUGUAGAAUGACUGAAUUGAGGUUCAUAAAGGUUCCUGACAAAUAAUGGUAAUAUGAGACGUGUGAUAUUUAGUAGUCAAUCCAGCUGGUAAGUAGAGGGGAAAUUAUGGAAAUUGCCUUUAGUGAAGAAAGUUUAUUGCAUGAGUGAAGAAAUUUGGUUUUAGAUACAUAGUUUAAUCCAAGAGCUUAUGAAGUGAAAGUAAUCAUGUAGUAGAUUUAUAAAACAUGGGACUAAGAAAGUAGAAUGACAAUAAAGGUAAGAACUACUAGUCUAUAUAAUUAUUUAGAAGCCUCACUCCAAGCAACACAUAAACCUUGAGCCUCAACAGAUUGUUACUUCAAGAAGGCAAGAAGAUUGGGUUAAAUCAAGCAGCAAGCCAGUCUUUGAACCACACACAUCUGGUGAUCUGGACUAAAGAGAACCUUUGUGUUGGUUUCUUGAGUUGAGCUGAAAGUAGUAGAUUGGCUCCCAUUUUAACGUUCUUUCUUAUUUGCUUCUUACUUAGCUUUCCCAAUGACAUCUUUUGUCAUUCAUAAGUUAGCAUCUUCUUCAUGCUUUUAUCUUUAGGAAACAUAUUCUUCUCCACUUUAAUAAGUUAGCAUCUUCUUCAUGCUUUUGGCUUUACAAAAAAUAUUUUCUCCACCUUAAUAAGUUAACAUCUUCUUCAUGUUUUUGGCUUUGGGAAACAUAUUUUCUCCACCUUGAGGAAAGAAUGGAUCCAUCUCCCUUGUCAUCAAGGAAAGUAUCAUUGGCUAUGUACUUCCUCUUCUCCAUCUAUAUAUAUUGGCAAUGGUACAUGAUCAUGAUUCACAAGUCAAGAGAUUUUCCUUCUUUCAAAAACUCUUACAAUUAUCUUU